GACGAACGCUGGCGGCGUGCUUAACACAUGCAAGUCGAACGGAAAGGCCUUUUCGGUGGUACUCGAGUGGCGCACGGGUGAGUAACACGUGGGUGAUCUGCCCUGCACUCUGGGAUAAGCCUGGGAAACUGGGUCUAAUACCGGAUAGGACCGCACUUUAGUGUGUGUGGUGGAAAGUUUUUUCGGUGUAGGAUGAGCCCGCGGCCUAUCAGCUUGUUGGUGGGGUAAUGGCCUACCAAGGCGGCGACGGGUAGCCGGACUGAGAGGUUGGUCGGCCACAUUGGGACUGAGAUACGGCCCAGACUCCUACGGGAGGCAGCAGUGGGGAAUAUUGCACAAUGGGCGCAAGCCUGAUGCAGCGACGCCGCGUGGGGGAUGACGGCCUUCGGGUUGUAAACUACUUUCGCCAGGGACGAAGCGUUUUGUGACGGUACCUGGAGAAGAAGCACCGGCUAACUACGU
RNAcentral lists this ribosomal RNA (462 nucleotides) under uncultured bacterium. RNAcentral describes it as "partial 16S ribosomal RNA". It matches the Rfam family "Bacterial small subunit ribosomal RNA", at positions 28 to 506 of the family's 1533-position model. The record is from RNAcentral.